AGCAGUAGCCGCGGUAAUACGUAGGGUGCAAGCGUUAAUCGGAAUUACUGGGCGUAAGGCGUGCGCAGGCGGUUUGUUAAGACAGAUGUGAAAUCCCCGGGCUUAACCUGGGAACUGCAUUUGUGACUGGCAAGCUAGAGUAUGGCAGAGGGGGGUGGAAUUCCGCGUGUAACAGUGAAAUGCGUAGAUAUGCGGAGGAACACCGAUGGCGAAGGCAGCCCCCUGGGCCAAUACUGACGCUCAUGCACGAAAGCGUGGGGAGCAAACAGGAUUAGAUACCCGAGUAGUCCCUGUCUCUUAUAC
Molecule: ribosomal RNA, 303 nt
Filed under: uncultured bacterium
Lineage: Bacteria
Description: partial 16S ribosomal RNA
Rfam family: Bacterial small subunit ribosomal RNA
Source: RNAcentral